Molecule: ribosomal RNA, 2306 nt
Filed under: marine metagenome
Description: bacterial LSU rRNA
Rfam family: Bacterial large subunit ribosomal RNA
Source: RNAcentral
AGCGUAUACGGUGGAUGCCUAGGCAGUUAGAGGCGAUGAAGGACGUGUAAGUCUGCGAAAAGCUGUGGUGAGCUGACAAAAAGCAUUUGAGCCACAGAUGUCCGAAUGGGGGAACCCACCGCUUCGGCGGUAUCGUUAACUGAAUACAUAGGUUAACGAAGCAAACGAGGGGAACUGAAACAUCUAAGUACCCUUAGGAAAAGAAAUCAACCGAGAUUCCCCAAGUAGCGGCGAGCGAACGGGGAGCAGCCGAGUAAUUAUGAGGUAGUGGAAUGUGUUGGAAAGCACAGCGAUACAGGGUGAUAGCCCCGUACACGAAGCAUCAUAGUUGCCAUAUUAAGUAGGUCGGGACACGUGUUAUCCUGACUGAAGAUGGGGGGACCAUCCUCCAAGGCUAAAUACUCCUAACUGACCGAUAGUGAACUAGUACCGUGAGGGAAAGGCGAAAAGAACCCCUGUGAGGGGAGUGAAAUAGAACCUGAAACCGUAUACGUACAAGCAGUAGGAGCCUGGAUUCUCUUCGGAGAUAGUAGGGUGACUGCGUACCUUUUGUAUAAUGGGUCAGCGACUUAUAUUUAGUAGCAAGGUUAACCGACUAGGGGAGCCGUAGCGAAAGCGAGUGUUAACUGCGCGUUUAGUUGCUAGGUAUAGACCCGAAACCCGGUGAUCUAGCCAUGGGCAGGUUGAAGGUUGAGUAACAUCAACUGGAGGACCGAACCGACUAACGUUGAAAAGUUAGCGGAUGACUUGUGGCUGGGGGUGAAAGGCCAAUCAAACCGGGAGAUAGCUGGUUCUCCCCGAAAUCUAUUUAGGUAGAGCCUCGGACGAACACCAUUGGGGGUAGAGCACUGUUAAGGCUAGGGGGUCAUCCCGACUUACCAACCCUUUGCAAACUCCGAAUACCGAUGAGUGCUAUCCGGGAGACACACGGCGGGUGCUAACGUCCGUCGUGAAGAGGGAAACAACCCAGACCGCCAGCUAAGGUCCCAAAGUCAUAGUUAAGUGGGAAACGAUGUGGAAAGGCCCAGACAGCCAGGAGGUUGGCUUAGAAGCAGCCACCCUUUAAAGAAAGCGUAAUAGCUCACUGGACUAGUGAUCCUGCGCCGAAAAUGUAACGGGGCUAAAGGAUUGUACCGAAGCUAUGGACUCAGUUUACUGAGUGGUAGGAGAGCAUUGUGUUUACCGAUGAAGGCGUACCGAUAAGGAGCGCUGGAGGUCCCACAAGAGCUGAUGCUAGAAUGAGUAGCGAUAAGAAGUGUGAGAAUCACUUCCGCCGAAAAUCUAAGGGUUCCUGGGCCAGGUGACUCCGCCCAGGGUUAGUCGGAUACUAAGGCGAGGCCGAAAGGCGUAGUCGAUGUCCAACAGGUUAAUAUUCCUGUACUUAGUAAUGUUCGCUUGACACGAAGGAGUGACGGAGAAAGGUAGCAAAGCCCACUGUUGGAUAUGUGGGUUUAAGCAAGUAGGUGGGUGUCUUAGGUAAAUCCGGGACGCUAUUAACACCGAGAUGCGAAUACGAGGGCCUAGCCCGAAGUUUGUGAUCCUCUGCUUCCAAGAAAAGCUUCGCGUGGAGAAUAUUAUUAAUCCGUACCGUAAACCGACACAGGUAGAUGAGGAGGGAAUCCUCAGGCGCUUGGGAAAGCUCAAGUUAAGGAACUCUGCAAAUUGGUGCCGUAACUUCGGGAGAAGGCACGCCUUUGUUGGUGACACCGCUUGCCGGUGUAGCUGAUGAAGGCCGCAGUGAAGAGGGGGUAGCGACUGUUUAUCAAAAACAUAGGUCUAUGCGAACACGUAAGUGGAUGUAUAUGGACUGACGCCUGCCCGGUGCUCGAAGGUUAAAAGGAGGGGUUAUCCGUAAGGAGAAGCUCUGAAUUGAAGCCCGAGUAAACGGCGGCCGUAACUAUAACGGUCCUAAGGUAGCGAAAUUCCUUGUCGGGUAAGUUCCGACCUGCACGAAUGGCGUAACGACUUCCCCACUGUCUCAACUGGAGGCCCAGCGAAAUUGGAGUGCGCGUGCAGAUACGCGCUACCCGCAGAAGGACGAAAAGACCCCGUGAACCUUUACUGUAGCUUGGCAUUGGGUUUCGAAUAACAUUGCGUAGGAUAGGUGGGAGUUUUUGAUCUGUGCAUUCCGGUGUACAGGGAGACAACCUUGAAAUACCACCCUUUGUUAUUUGGAAUCCUAACCUACUGUCGUUAUCCGGCAGGGGGACAAUGUCUGGUGGGCAGUUUGACUGGGGCGGUCGCCUCCUAAACGGUAACGGAGGCGCACGAAGGUUCCCUCAGGCCGUAUGGAAACCGGCCGUAGA